Molecule: ribosomal RNA, 530 nt
Filed under: uncultured Paracoccaceae bacterium
Lineage: Bacteria; Pseudomonadati; Pseudomonadota; Alphaproteobacteria; Rhodobacterales; Paracoccaceae
Description: bacterial SSU rRNA
Rfam family: Bacterial small subunit ribosomal RNA
Source: RNAcentral
UAACUCGGCCCGAGAAAUUCGAUUGAGUUUGUAUCCUGGCUCAGAACGAACGCUGGCGGCAGGCCUAACACAUGCAAGUCGAGCGCUACCUUCGGGUGGAGCGGCGGACGGGUUAGUAACGCGUGGGAAUAUACCCUUCACUAUGGAAUAGCCUCGGGAAACUGAGAGUAAUACCAUAUACGCCCUUCGGGGGAAAGAUUUAUCGGUGAAGGAUUAGCCCGCGUAAGAUUAGAUAGUUGGUGGGGUAAUGGCCUACCAAGUCUACGAUCUUUAGCUGGUUUUAGAGGAUGAUCAGCAACACUGGGACUGAGACACGGCCCAGACUCCUACGGGAGGCAGCAGUGGGGAAUCUUAGACAAUGGGCGCAAGCCUGAUCUACCCAUGCCGCGUGAGUGAUGAAGGUCUUAGGAUCGUAAAGCUCUUUCGCUAGGGAUGAUAAUGACAGUACCUAGUAAAGAAGCCCCGGCUAACUCCGUGCCAGCAGCCGCGGUAAUACGAGGGUGGCUAGCUGUUGUUUCGGUAUUCUGGAR